UAACUCAGUAGGUUAGAGCAUGGUGCUAAUAACGCCAAGGUUGCAGGUUCGAUCCCUGU
Molecule: transfer RNA, 59 nt
Filed under: Danio rerio (zebrafish)
Lineage: Eukaryota; Metazoa; Chordata; Actinopteri; Cypriniformes; Danionidae
Rfam family: tRNA
About the family: Transfer RNA (tRNA) molecules are approximately 80 nucleotides in length. Their secondary structure includes four short double-helical elements and three loops (D, anti-codon, and T loops).
Source: Rfam by way of RNAcentral